RNAcentral lists this ribosomal RNA (253 nucleotides) under uncultured bacterium. RNAcentral's name for it is "partial 16S ribosomal RNA". It matches the Rfam family "Bacterial small subunit ribosomal RNA", at positions 524 to 776 of the family's 1533-position model. The record is from RNAcentral.
UACGUAGGGUGCGAGCGUUGUCCGGAAUUACUGGGCGUAAAGAGCUCGUAGGUGGUUUGUCGCGUUGUUCGUGAAAACCGGGGGCUUAACCCUCGGCGUGCGGGCGAUACGGGCAGACUUGAGUACUGCAGGGGAGACUGGAAUUCCUGGUGUAGCGGUGGAAUGCGCAGAUAUCAAGAGGAACACCUGCGGCGAAGGCGGGUUGCUGGGCCGACACUGACGCUGAGGCGCGAAAGCCAGGGGAGCGAACGGG